UUUCUGUUCUCUGCAGAGGACUCUCCUUCCCAUGAGGAAUGGAUGAGAAAAGAGAGGCUCCACAGGGCAGAGGAAGCAAGGAUCAUACCUGACAUGGAGAUGUAAGACUUCCUGGAUUUCAUGGGCUCGGGUAUUUGGACACUUGCCCCUAGCUGAUGGUGGUGUUUUGAGACUUCAUGGAAUCCUCAAGAGUUGGAGGUGAACCUGGAGACCGCGGUGGAGCAGUCAUGGCAGGAGGACUCUGAAGCAGCUGGCCACACGAGGUCUACUUUUUAUAAACCACCCAGGAUCCCAGCACAGAAAUGGUGUCAACCAU
This is a long non-coding RNA of Meriones unguiculatus (Mongolian gerbil), 316 nucleotides long. RefSeq lists it as uncharacterized. The transcript has 3 exons. NCBI's taxonomy places the organism in Eukaryota, Metazoa, Chordata, Mammalia, Rodentia, Muridae. The record is from RefSeq and is a predicted model, not a curated record.